Molecule: transfer RNA, 72 nt
Filed under: bacterium
Lineage: Bacteria
Also listed under: 1 other name
Description: tRNA-Gly
Rfam family: tRNA
About the family: Transfer RNA (tRNA) molecules are approximately 80 nucleotides in length. Their secondary structure includes four short double-helical elements and three loops (D, anti-codon, and T loops). Further hydrogen bonds mediate the characteristic L-shaped molecular structure. tRNAs have two regions of fundamental functional importance: the anti-codon, which is responsible for specific mRNA codon recognition, and the 3' end, to which the tRNAs corresponding amino acid is attached (by aminoacyl-tRNA synthetases). tRNAs cope with the degeneracy of the genetic code in two manners: having more than one tRNA (with a specific anti-codon) for a particular amino acid; and 'wobble' base-pairing, i.e. permitting non-standard base-pairing at the 3rd anti-codon position.
Source: RNAcentral
GCGGGUGUAAUUCAGUGGUAGAAUGCAAGCUUCCCAAGCUUGAUGUCGCCGGUUCGAUCCCGGUCGCCCGCU